RNAcentral lists this small nuclear RNA (81 nucleotides) under Cervus elaphus hippelaphus. It matches the Rfam family "U4 spliceosomal RNA", at positions 1 to 81 of the family's 138-position model. Rfam says of the family: U4 small nuclear RNA (U4 snRNA) is a component of the major U2-dependent spliceosome. The structure of U4 snRNA from yeast and human has been reported. U4 snRNA presents a k-turn RNA motif in the 5p-SL related to recognition of Snu13 protein. The record is from RNAcentral. Lineage: Eukaryota; Metazoa; Chordata; Mammalia; Artiodactyla; Cervidae.
AGCUUUGCACAGGGGCAGUAUCGUAGCCAAUGAGGUUUAUCCAAGGCGUGAUUAUUGCUAAUUGAAAACUUUUCUCAAAAC